Molecule: ribosomal RNA, 541 nt
Filed under: uncultured bacterium
Lineage: Bacteria
Description: bacterial SSU rRNA
Rfam family: Bacterial small subunit ribosomal RNA
Source: RNAcentral
GAGGAAUAUUGGUCAAUGGGCGAGAGCCUGAACCAGCCAAGUAGCGUGCAGGAAGACGGCCCUAUGGGUUGUAAACUGCUUUUAUGCGGGGAUAAAGUGCGUGACGUGUCACGCAUUGCAGGUACCGCAUGAAUAAGGACCGGCUAAUUCCGUGCCAGCAGCCGCGGUAAUACGGAAGGUCCGGGCGUUAUCCGGAUUUAUUGGGUUUAAAGGGAGCGUAGGCCGCCAGGUAAGCGUGUUGUGAAAUGUACCGGCUCAACCGGUGAAUUGCAGCGCGAACUGUCUGGCUUGAGUGCACGGUAAGCAGGCGGAAUUCAUGGUGUAGCGGUGAAAUGCUUAGAUAUCAUGAGGAACUCCGAUUGCGAAGGCAGCUUGCUGCAGUGCGACUGACGCUGAUGCUCGAAGGUGCGGGUAUCAAACAGGAUUAGAUACCCUGGUAGUCCGCACGGUAAACGAUGGAUGCCCGCUGUCCGCCCCUUUGUGGCGGGUGGCCAAGCGAAAGCGUUAAGCAUCCCACCUGGGGAGUACGCCGGCAACGGUG